Molecule: long non-coding RNA, 856 nt
Organism: Pogoniulus pusillus (Red-fronted tinkerbird)
Lineage: Eukaryota; Metazoa; Chordata; Aves; Piciformes; Lybiidae
Exons: 2
Source: RefSeq, a predicted model, not a curated record
CCGAGAGCAAGCGCAGCCAAUGGGCAGGGGCGGCGGGCGCCGCUGGCCGGGGAGGCGUGCGGCCGCUGGGGCGUGGCGCCGUGGGCAUGGUGCUCCUUUUGCUCCCGCGGGCCGCGGGUCAGAUGCGGCGCUGGGAGGGGAGCCUGGCUCCUCAGUCCCGUGCGUCCGUCUUCCCUGGGGUCUUGGGCGAGUGUGGCGGCCCCAGUGGCGCGUUCUGCGAGGCUAACCAGGCUAAGGCUGGCUUCCCGCCGCCGCGGUCUGGCGUCUGGCAGCUCCCGCGCGCUGGGCUGGCUCCUCUGGGCGGUGAGCAGAACGUAGUCACACGCCGUUCGGUACAGUAAAAGCCACCUACUCUCCAAAUUAAUGCCUUCCUUCUCACCUACCAGCGCUUCAUUUCCCUGGAAGCUGCCAGAGAAACAUCCUUUGAAAUUCAAAUAACCAGCUUCCCACCUCUGGGCACCAAAUGACUCCUUCAAAGCCCUCCUGCCUGUUUGACGGGCUCUGCUAACUCCUGCAGUUUACCUGCACCAGUGCCAAUUUGGUUUUCCUCUAAUUAAGAAACGCAGCACCUCUGCUGACCAGUACCACCGACCAGCUGCUAAACCUUCCCACAGCUCGGAAUGCUCAAGCAAGGGAGAUCUUGAGGAGGACGUGGGGCACGGGGCAAAUGUUUCUCAAAGCUACCUGUGAUGCAGCUUUUUUGCCUCAGAUCAUGUCUCUGCAGAGAACCACCCCACAUGGGUCAAAUCCAGAGGUUACAGUGACCUUGCUGUGACCCUGCCAAAGCCCUUAGCACAUUUUUCACAGUGUCAACCCCUGCAUAGGGCUGGUGCUGCUGCCAUAACUACCAUCCUGG